GACGAACGCUGGCGGCGUGCUUAACACAUGCAAGUCGAACGGAAAGGCCCUGCUUUUGUGGGGUGCUCGAGUGGCGAACGGGUGAGUAACACGUGAGUAACCUGCCCUUGACUUUGGGAUAACUUCAGGAAACUGGGGCUAAUACCGGAUAGGAGCUCCUGCUGCAUGGUGGGGGUUGGAAAGUUUCGGCGGUUGGGGAUGGACUCGCGGCUUAUCAGCUUGUUGGUGGGGUAGUGGCUUACCAAGGCUUUGACGGGUAGCCGGCCUGAGAGGGUGACCGGCCACAUUGGGACUGAGAUACGGCCCAGACUCCUACGGGAGGUAGCAGUGGGGAAUAUUGCACAAUGGGCGGAAGCCUGAUGCAGCAACGCCGCGUGCGGGAUGACGGCCUUCUGGUUGUAAACCGCUUUCGCCUGUGACGAAGCGUGAGUGACGGUAAUGGGUAAAGAAGCACCGGCUAACUACGUG
This 468-nucleotide ribosomal RNA is filed under the name uncultured bacterium. Its description in RNAcentral is "partial 16S ribosomal RNA". It matches the Rfam family "Bacterial small subunit ribosomal RNA", at positions 28 to 507 of the family's 1533-position model. The record is from RNAcentral.